UCCCAUUGGGUUUUUUCCAGCCCAUGAUUAGUAGUCUAUUGGGAAUUAAUAGUCUUAGAGGAUUAAAUUGUUUUCCCAAUUGGAGUUGUUUUCCCAAUUGAAGUUGUUUACCCAAUUGGAGUUAGUUUCUCAAUUGGAGUAGGAUUCAUAACUAGAUUCCAAUUAGGAUUAAUAAUCCCUAUUGAAGAAGACCUUUAUUAUGUCUAUAUAAAGGGGCUUUUGUACUAGUUUUGAGGAGGGAGCAAAACAAUAAGUGUGCGAGAGAAAAGAAAAGAGAGAUAGUGUAUUUCUUGUUCUUGUUCUUUCAGGUUUUUCGUCAAGUCCUAGUUCUAGAGAUUUGGCAAGAUUAUUGGUUGUACUCAUUAUUGAUAUAGUGAAAGAUUGUUGUUGUUGCCCCGUGGACGUAGGCACAUAUUGCCGAACCACGUAAUUUCUUGGUGUUAUUUAUCUUGGUUAUUUGUUUUUCCCAUUCUUAAACGCGAUAUUCUCAACAAGUGGUAUCAGAGCCUGGUUCGGCUGAUAUCUGUUUAGAAUGGAGGGUGCAACCUGCUUUAAUUGGGUUAUGUGGAAAUCAAGAGGAGGACAUGCUUUACUGAAGGUGUUAAGAGCAAGCCAGCAAGUAUGUCUGAUGCUGAUUGGACCAAGAUGAAGAUAAGCGAUGUUUUCUGGCAAAGAAGUCUAUAAUUGCCUUUGCCAAUGACGAUGGGUGUUGCGAUCAGGGGGAGCCUGGUCAAGAGAAAUCUAAUCAAGAGGGUCUUGGUUAAUGAGUAGUUCAAUCAAGGGGAGCUUGGUUAUGGGUAAUUCGAUCAGGGGGAGUCUGGUCAUGAAAAGUUCGAUCAAUGGGAGUUUGGUCAAGAGGAGCAAUCCUAUUAUGGUAUACCUUCCUCAUGGUCUGGAGGGGGAGAUUGUUGGGUUUUUUCCAGCCCAUGAUUAGUAGUCUAUUGGGAAUUAAUAGUCUUAGAGGAUUAAAUUGUUUUCCCAAUUGGAGUUGUUUUCCCAAUUGAAGUUGUUUACCCAAUUGGAGUGGUAGGAUUCAUAACUAGAUUCCAAUGAGGAUUAAUAAUCCCUAUUGAAUAAGACCUUUAUUAUGUCUAUAUAAAGGGGCUUUUGUACUAGUUUUGAGGAGGGAGCAAAACAAUAAGUGUGCGAGAGAAAAGAAAAGAGAGAUAGUGUAUUUCUUGUUCUUGUUCUUUCAGGUUUUUCGUCAAGUCCUAGUUCUAGAAAUUUGGCAAGAUUAUUGGUUGUACUCAUUAUUGAUAUAGUGAAAGAUUGUUGUUGUUGUCCCGUGGACGUAGGCACAUAUUGCCGAACCACGUAAUUUCUUGGUGUUAUUUAUCUUGGUUGUUUGUUUUUCCCAUUCUUAAACGCGAUAUUCUCAAC
This 1380-nucleotide long non-coding RNA is filed under the name Malus domestica (apple). Its description in RNAcentral is "long non-coding RNA (MDOM_LNC017448)". The record is from RNAcentral. Lineage: Eukaryota; Viridiplantae; Streptophyta; Magnoliopsida; Rosales; Rosaceae.